This is a non-coding RNA of Potamilus streckersoni, 84 nucleotides long. The record is from the annotation of a GenBank genome assembly. NCBI's taxonomy places the organism in Eukaryota, Metazoa, Mollusca, Bivalvia, Unionida, Unionidae.
GCUCUGGUGGCCUUGUAGUUAGACCGUCCGCCUCGAAUGCGGGAGGUUGCGGGUUCGAACCCCGGCCAAGUCAUACCCAAUGCA